GAAGAUAAAGUGGAUUAGCGGCGGACGGGUGAGUAACACGUGAGUAACCUGCCUUAGACAUUGGGAUAGCCUCGGGAAACCGGGAUUAAUACCAAAUAAAAUCAUAAUGACACAUGUCAUAACGAUCAAAACUCCGGUGGUCUAAGAUGGACUCGCGUCCCAUUAGCUAGUUGGUAGAGUAAAAGCCUACCAAGGCGACGAUGGGUAGCCGGCCUGAGAGGGUGAACGGCCACAUUGGAACUGAGAAACGGUCCAAACUCCUACGGGAGGCAGCAGUGGGGAAUAUUGCACAAUGGAGGGAACUCUGAUGCAGCGACGCCGCGUGAACGAAGAAGGCUUUCGAGUCGUAAAGUUCUUUUAUAUGGGAAGAUAAUGACGGUACCAUAAGAAAAAGCCCCGGCUAACUACGUGCCAGCAGCCGCGGUAAUACGUAGGGGGCUAGCGUUGUCCGGAAUCACUGGGCGUAAAGGGUUCGCAGGCGGAAGUGCAAGUCAGAUGUAAAAGGCAGUAGCUUAAUUACUGUAAGCAUUUGAAACUGCAUAUCUUGAGAAGAGUAGAGGUAAGUGGAAUUUUUAGUGUAGCGGUGAAAUGCGUAGAUAUUAAAAAGAAUAUC
This 613-nucleotide ribosomal RNA is filed under the name uncultured Eubacteriales bacterium. Its description in RNAcentral is "bacterial SSU rRNA". It matches the Rfam family "Bacterial small subunit ribosomal RNA", at positions 78 to 710 of the family's 1533-position model. The record is from RNAcentral. Lineage: Bacteria; Bacillati; Bacillota; Clostridia; Eubacteriales.